UACGGGGGGAGCAAGCGUUGUUCGGAAUUACUGGGCGUAAAGGGCGCGCAGGCGGCUCUUCAAGUCAGAUGUGAAAGCCCCGGGCUCAACCUGGGAACUGCAUUUGAGACUGGAGAGCUUGAGUUCGGGAGAGGAGAGCGGAAUUCCCAGUGUAGAGGUGGAAUUCGUAGAUAUCGGGAAGAACACCCGUGGCGAAGGCGGCUCUCUGGGACGGUACUGACGCUGAGACGCGAAAGCGUGGGGAGCGAACAGG
Molecule: ribosomal RNA, 253 nt
Filed under: uncultured bacterium
Lineage: Bacteria
Description: partial 16S ribosomal RNA
Rfam family: Bacterial small subunit ribosomal RNA
Source: RNAcentral